RNAcentral lists this long non-coding RNA (22235 nucleotides) under Triticum aestivum (bread wheat). RNAcentral describes it as "long non-coding RNA (TAES_LNC022626)". The record is from RNAcentral. Lineage: Eukaryota; Viridiplantae; Streptophyta; Magnoliopsida; Poales; Poaceae.
CCCCCGCCUCCGCCGUACCACCACUAAGAAGAUCCACCACUCUGUCAAGCUGGGAGCCCAGGUACGUGCAAACAACAUCAGUCUACAUUCUUGCAUGGACGCACCAUUUGUUCGAAUAGCACCAACUAACUCAGAGAACGUUUUUGUUUGCAGAAUGCGGUCGAGAAGAGUUGUGCGAGCAGGCCAAGAAGAGCCACGUACGGCGUCGUUGAUCCUCCUCCGGUGUGUGUUGCUGCCGAACUAGGGCCGAUCUCUCAGGAGAUGGAAUAAUGCAGAUGGCUCCCAUUAGUUUAUCUUACCAGCUUAUCAUUUGUGUUCGUCCAGUGUUAGCGUCUGUGUUGCUAGUGUGGCAAUGUGCCCGUGUCACUGUAAAACCAUUGAUCACCACGGAAAUGGAAGUAAAAGGUGUUGUUUCCUGUUGCAUGUAACGUGAUCGCGUCUCUGUUUUGCUGCUCUUCUAUCAUCUUGGCCUAUGGGUGACGUGAUGCGAUGUUUGCAUGUGAGGUUACAUAAAAUAUGUGACAUUGAGUACUACGCUCUGCUCGCACAGGCGCAGCAUGCAUGCCUGCAAGUCCUGCGGCGCAGUGAGCUGUCUUGCCCAAGCUACAGUAUCCCAUACCAGUGUUCUGCAGCAUAUGCCCAUGCGACACUUAAUAAAGAACAGCAAUAGGUCUUUGCCGUCUAGGUGCAUCCCCCAUGCGACACUUAAUAAAGAACGGAAGUAAUAGGUCUUUGCCGUCUUGACACCAAACAUUCAAAAGUGAAUCAAGAAGAAAACUUCCGUUCUCAUACACCCUUCAUACAUCCUAGUACCAAACACAUCUUUACUGUACCUGCACAGGCAUAAUGCUAGUACGUAGCAGAAUAUGCAAUGCGGGGCGGGUGAUCUGUUCUUUACUUCUAUUGGCCAUGGGUUGGUGCAAACUUACAAUCAAUUGGGUCAGUGUGAAACCUCGGCUGCUGGGGGUUCCAGUAAUAGCAUGCAUGAUGCCAACAGGUCUGACCGUAAUGAAUCGGAGGAGCCAGGUGAAAGAAGACAAGAAGAACAGUUGGCACAAUAAAUUAACUUGACAUGCUGACGAUGUGCUUUAUACAAAUCUUAUUUCCUUUCGACGUGCUAAAUAUGGCAAUCAAUCUCACAGAUAUGAAAACUUUGAUAUUUUGGUAUGCAUGAUUUGGAAAACAAAUGGAGCAGCAGACUGUUCUUAAAAAAAAGGGUUACAUUCAUUGUUACAUGAGUGAGAAUAUGGAAGUUUAUUUCAUUUUAUUAUUUUCUACUGGAGACUUCUCAUUGAGUUUGAAGUUUAAAUUCUGGUCUUAGGAUCGAUGUCACCGUUUUCCAAAUAGGAACAGUAUGGACAAAAUGAAGUAGUCCACCUUUCGUGCCUGCCUGUUCACACGUACUUCAUGGGUUUUCUUGGCCACAUGGGCAUGUCGAUUGGUGUCAGAGAUCCGUGGAUUUUACUUGAGGCCACCAUACUGUCAGCGACACGAAAAGGCACAAAACAUGCAAGAUAAAAGCUGGAGGAGAAAAGCAAGCGCGCGAACCAAGAAAGGCAAAUUAUUUUCACGGAAAUGAUGCUGCCCACAACUUCACAAGGAAAGUGGUUUUGCAAUGUCGUUCGUUUUUCGCUCGCGAGAAAUUCCUCACCUUCCCGAAACCAGGACAGAAGUUCACAAGAUGGCAAAGAUGGAAGGAAGGCUAGAGGACUUGAUUAUGAGUAGCAUGACUCUCCUCUAUUGUAACCAUUGUUCAACUAUCAAGGAGAUAAAAGGACCAUGUGCGAGCGGGCGAACAUGAGGAAAGACGCAGGAGGGCACUAGCAUGGAUUUGGUAGGUUCCUGUUGGACGUUAGCACGUUGUUUUGCUCAAGCAUUGACUUGAUACUACCAAAUGCAUCGUUUGAUAAUCAGGAUUUAGGCCUAUGUAGCACUCUAGCACAAGAAAGAAAACCAGCCACUACUCUCAAGACGAGGGCACGACAAACAAAACACUGGCGCUUGUAAGCUUACCGCGGCCUAUGAUUCUUUUUCUUUUUUAAUAAUAAAGAAACAAAAGGACGGCUCAUUUUAGGUAACUUGGUGUUACGAACCUGAACUUCCUUCAUGUACUCCCUUCAUUUUUGUAUACAAGGCCAUAAACUCAUAUUACAGAUACCAAGGCAAAAGUUAAUGUCUUCUAAGUCAAUGUUGCAAGUCAGCUUGUCUUUUUGUUUACCGUGUAAAUUAAUGUGUAUUCUUCUCUUUCAUGCACAUCAAACCAAUUCUCCCACUUCUGCAUGCGAGUACUAAGUAAAAGGGGAAAGAAACUGGUCGAGAGCCACCCCCAUUAGGGUUUUGAGGCAACACGGUGUGCAGAGCAGCUGGCCAAGGAGAUGGACACUGGACAUUGCUGUUCACAAGCGUGACGGAACCAGAAGGAUCCAGAAAAGCUACUGUAGGAGUAGAAAACAAGUGCUGGAUGGCUCAAAGUACGGAUCAGAACCGGGGCCAUACGAGCUUCUGCCAAGUGAGGCCCAUGAGGAUGAGGUUGUGGAACCCGCUUGCCACACUGAUACGAAACGUCCUUGAUGGAGCCCGGCCUCCAUUGAUCAUUUUUCGGCAGCAACCUUCAUUCACUCCUUCAUCCGGGAAAAACUCGGAAGGAGGAGUCGCGUGCGGUGCAGCAACAUUCAUUCCCUGUGCGCCCUGCUCCUGCUCUAUGAGCAAAAGGCUGAACAAAUUGAAAGCGUAUGAACAGAGCCAAGGAGCAUCAUCAAUUCAGUCACCUGAUUCACGUCGUCGGCAACUGCGCCCGCCGCUGACAAGCAGCAUCGGCAGUUGGGCCCGGGCUUUGACCGGCAAGCAAGGCGCAAAGCAACGAGAAAACCGGGGCGAGAGGGGCACAUGCAGACGCAUGAGCAAUUGAUUAUGGGAGUGCGAUGCGGAGAAUGAAACAAGUUCCCCAAAAGAAAAUGAAAACAAGAGAAAAAUAGUGACACAAGUUGAUGAGGCCGGCGAGCGCGAGAAUGGCGACAACCAAUUACAGAGAGUUCGGAGGGACUGUGCUCCCUUGGCUCCACGCUGCAAAUGGGCCACAAAAUGGCGAAGCUACGACGAGACUUCCGGCGACCACAGUCCACGCCAUGGAGCACGCACGUUUUUUUUUAACUACACGUCUUCGGUUUCUAGCACUUCUAGACUAUUCGCGACGUUUUCUAUUCCAGACUGAUUGCCCGUUUCCCUGUUCAUUUGCGUCUGGUUCCUUCCGUGAUCCAUCCGAUCCAAGGCGAGAUCAUGGAUGGUCCCAACUGCCGACCAAGCUUAACAUAAAGAAGGCUUUUGAUUCGGUGCGUUGGGAUUACUUGAUGGAUUUGCUGCGUCACCAUGGCUUCCCAAGUCGCUUCAGGGAUUGGAUCUCUGCCCUUCUUUCCUCGGCAUCUUCGCGUGUGUUGUUCAAUGGUAUUGCCGGUGACCCAAUUCGGGAUGGUCGGGGCCUUCGUCAAGCGGACCCUCUCUCCCCGUUGCUAUUUGUGCUCGCCAUUGACCCGUUGCACCACAUCCUUGCGAAGGCGACUUCUCAAGGUCAUCUUCAACCACUCAGAGGUCGACCCAUCCGUGCGUCGCUUUAUGCCGAUGACGCUGCCAUUUUCAUUGCCCCAAUAAAAAAUGACAUUCAGUUCCUGGCUUCAACUCUUGUAUCCUUUGGUGAUGCUACAGGAUUGGUCACUAAUUGUGCCAAAAGUGUAGUUGCGCCCAUUUGCUGCGGUAACAUUGACCUUGAUAACGUCCUGCAAGCCUUCCCAGCGGUUCGCUCCACCUUUCCUAUGAGAUAUUUGUGGCUUCCCCUUUCGGUUUCAAGGCUUAAGAGGAUUCACUUUCAGUUCUUAGAAGAUAAAGUUGCGGGGAAACUACCACCUUGGGUUGCCAAACAUGUGGCCGUGCCAGGCCGGGUUGUCUUGGUCAAGGCAGUGCUUACCGCCAUUGUUAUAUAUCAUAUCACGCCCCUGGAAUUGCCGGUGGAAGUGAGGAAGAAGAUUGAUAGCUUGCGGCGUGCCUAUCUUUGGGCGGGUUGCGAUAAAGUGACCGGCGGAAAAUGUAAGGUCAACUGGGAUCUCGUCUGCAAGCCCAAGAUCUUCGGUGGUUUGGGCAUCCUCAACNNNNNNNNNNNNNNNNNNNNNNNNNNNNNNNNNNNNNNNNNNNNNNNNNNNNNNNNNNNNNNNNNNNNNNNNNNNNNNNNNNNNNNNNNNNNNNNNNNNNNNNNNNNNNNNNNNNNNNNNNNNNNNNNNNNNNNNNNNNNNNNNNNNNNNNNNNNNNNNNNNNNNNNNNNNNNNNNNNNNNNNNNNNNNNNNNNNNNNNNNNNNNNNNNNNNNNNNNNNNNNNNNNNNNNNNNNNNNNNNNNNNNNNNNNNNNNNNNNNNNNNNNNNNNNNNNNNNNNNNNNNNNNNNNNNNNNNNNNNNNNNNNNNNNNNNNNNNNNNNNNNNNNNNNNNNNNNNNNNNNNNNNNNNNNNNNNNNNNNNNNNGAUGAUAGAGACCUGUUUGCGGCAGCCACCACAGUUAGUGUUGGAAACGGAUGUAAGGCGAAGUUCUGGGAAUCAUCUUGGCUGAACGGCAUGAGACCCAAAGAUAUUGCCCCAAAGAUAUUUGACCUCUCAAAAAAGAAAUCUACCUCGGUCCAAAAAGCUCUCCUCAACAAUCAUUGGGUUAGUCAGAUUGAUACCCAUCAUGGGCUCACCAUGGAGCAUAUUCAGGAGUUCGCCUUGCUAUGAGAAAAGCUAUCCUCUGUUACUCUCGACAAUGUUGUGCAUGAUACUAUCCUAUGAAAGUUCACGUCUCAUGGAGAAUACUCGGCGUCGACGGCCUAUAUAGCGCAGUUUGCGGGACACACGACAAGCAUCAUGCCUGCUGCUGUUUGGAAGGGUUGGGCCCCUCCGAAAUGCAAAUUUUUUGCUUGGUUGAUAAUUCAAAACAGAGUUUGGACAGCUGAUCGAUUGCACCGUCGUGGAUGGCCGAACUGCAACCUCUGCCCGCUUUGCAAGCAAGUCCAGGAAACCGCAGCACACCUUCUCUUCCAAUGCAGGUUCUCCCAGCGUGUCUGGAUCGAGGUUGCAACAUGGCUUGGUAUACAUGGUGAUGUGGUGAGGAGCUGGCGAAAUGAGGUUUCGGUUCGAGAAUGGUGGAUUAAAAAUGUGGUUGAGCGUGGAGAUAAGAGAAAGGCUAUCGCCUCCUUGUUCAUGCUCAUGUCUUGGGAGAUUUGGAAAGAGCGUAAUGGAAGGGUUUUCCGUAACAUCGCCGCUACGACGAUGAUGCUCAUCGCGAAGAUAAAAGAGGAGGCCCAUCUUUGGGCUAUUGCCGGUGCCACCCACUUGAGUAUUGUAAUGCCGCGAGAGUAGAUAUUUGUCUCCCACUUUGCGGUCGUUUGUCUUAAACCUUCUCCCUUAAUCAAUGAAAAUGGCAAAUCUUUUGCCUUGUUUCAAAAAAAAAAAAAACUGCCGACAAGGCUACGAUGUUCGCGCACUGGAUGGGCGUGUGCAGUGCCGCCGAUGAGUACCGUACCGACGAACGGCCCAACGUGAUUCGCUCGCCUCGAUCUAUUGCUUGUUGCACAGAUGCACUGAUGGGCACACACCAUUGUUCCCUGGAAAGAAAGAUGGCGCCCAUCUGCUCCAACGCUGCACUUUGACAGAGAUCAGUCACCAAGCACACAUGCAUCCACGAGGCAAGUGAUUCCGGCGGUGCGAUUUGCCUAAUCGUUCGGUUCCGAAAGCUUGAUGCGUGAUGCAUGCAUCGUGCACACGGAAAGAAACAUCUUUCGCUUUACUCCGGCCGUGUGACCGUGGCUGCACACACAACUGGCUAAGAAGACACUAUAGGGUGGGUGGAUCGGUGCUAGUCUAGCUAAGACACGCCCUGAUGCAAGGUUUAGGAAACGGGUGCAGAUCUCGCUGUCGUGGGAAUGCCCAGAUCUACCUAAACCAUCGCUUAGCUUUACCUGUAUCUUUUUCGGUUGACCGUGCCAGCAGAGGAUGCUGUUUUCAUGAGGGGUUUGUCCUGUUCCGCCUAAUCUUAACCAGACAUCUACCGCACAUCACAUGGCUUGAAGCAUAGCCAUUUAGUACAAUGGGACAGUAUGCUUUUUUUUGACAUGGACAGCGUUGCAGGAGCAGGUAGAAAUUUUGUCUCGUAAGAAAACUGCCCUUGGUGGAUCUGGAAGGCCUUAAAUUACGGUUCUAAUGUUUCCUCUUACUAAUUUGGAUCAAACCAGAAUUGACAGUGUGCUUCGUCCAACAGAUGAACUAGUGCUGCUUUUUAACACUGAACUACUGUUGCUUAAACCGCUGUGAUCACCAUCUUCCAAACUGCAUAAUAAGGCCCUCCACUGUGUAGGCCAAAAGUGGUGCCAAAUACACUUUUGGUUCAUUUGGCACCGAUGCCCUCCAUUGCCCAGCCGAUGCCAUAAUAUUUUUCCAGGGAACCGGAGCAUGUUGCUGCACCGAUGCCCACUUCUAGUAUUGCAAUAAAAUAUGUUAAACUGUGAAGGAUCAAGGGGAUGUGAUAGAGGAGGACUAGAGAACUUGUACGAAGGAUUGAGGGAAAGUUGGCUUGCUCCAUUUUUUAUGUAUACAUGUGGUCCGACUUUUCUAUGGGCUGCAAAGGCACAUAGUGUGACCGGUGCCAUAGAAAUUUCUCAGAGCAUCGAUGCCCAAUCUGUAAUAUUUUAAUGUACCGGGCACCGAUCACAUAGUGGAAGGCCUAACAGGAGUCAAACGCAAAUUCUUGUCUGCCCACCCGACGUCUUUUGCGUGGAUUGGUUUCGCCCAGACUACCGAUAAAGGACUCCCGCUGUCCUGUGUCCGGAGAGAAUUCUUCCGUCCCAAGACCUACCAUGUCAAAGCCCACCCUGUGUAGUUUGGUCCAAGCAACCCCACCCACACCCGCCAAGACAAACAAGUCUUGUAAGGUCCAAGCCAAUUAGAAUACCAGUGCUGUUCUUUUUUGUUAGAAUUCUACUGUCGAAAACUAGACUAGUUGACUAAGAAUUAGAUUCUCAAAAAAAAGUUGACUAAGAAUUAAGGUCCAUAAUAUUUAUGCUAACACUUGCAAAGAGUAAGCCGAAGAUAACUAACACGCAAAAAGGAUUACUGAACUAUGAAUUUUCUUCACGAAUAAGAGGUUUUUUGGAGAUAUGUCGAUAAAACCACCUUUUCCCCGAAAAAGAAGACAUUACUACUUGACACAAGGAUGAGAAACCACAUAUUUUAAUAUACAGAUGAAAAAUAAAGAUAAUUUAUAGUAACUAAUCAAGAUUCCAAUGUGAGGUUGGGAGGUCUGAUUUGAGGUAAACAUGGUCGCAAGGAGGCAUGCCAGUUUUUUUAUACAUGCAAAGCUUCUAAAUAAAUCAAGGUAUCUGCUAUGUCAUUGGACUGCUAGGACAUCUCUAGCAGAUUCCUCAUCCUGUAAUCUCAAAUCUUACCUUCUUUAAAAAAAAAUAGGACGGUUAAACUCUUUUCCCCAUCUAGCAGACCCCCCAAGCUUAAUCCCCCAAACACACUUCACCCCACAUGGCAGCCUCUCUUCACCUUAUUCUUCCUUCUUCCUUUGACAUGGCCAACGACCACUUCUCGCCACUGGAUGAUGCAGAUGAGCUAGCUAUGAACUAGGAUAGAUGCUCCGCAAAAGUACUUGAUAGAGGAUCGCCGUGCGCGAUGUAAGCGUUCGAUGAAGUAGUCGUGAAAGUAGGAGAAAUUCAUCCUCCAUGGGACAUGGUAUGGGUGUUUCUUCUUCUGAACGACUUCUUCCCCUCACUCUCCUAGUGUCUAGAUGGCGCGGUCCGGAAUACAAGAAUUCAUUGGAAUCAGUCUUGGCGGUCGGCGACCACUUUUAGGUGAGCAUUUUCUAUGUAAGUGUUGCUCCACAUAUGGUGCAUCUUUGCUCGUGGUCGAGGAUGACGGGAAGGAGCACCGUAAAAAAGUGUCAUCGUCGGCCGAACAUGACGUGAAAGAAAAAGAAUGAAGAAAAAAGUUCGCCGAAGACAUGGGGGAGGUAGGGUUGUGGGGAGGCACCACGACCUGCAGGGUGGGUCCGUGGGUAGCCAACGGCUAGGUGUGCGGGUGAGGCAGUGGCUACGGGAGGCAUGAGUUAUGUCCCUACUUUUGCCGAGGAUGCCAUUUUCUAGGAAAAAAAUAGGCCAGAGAGAAAACUAUGUUUUUGAGUAACUAAAGGUUUGUGGGAUCCGAUAGCUAGUAAGUCUCGGUUAUGAAACUCGUAAUUUUUCUUCAUACACACAGGCAAUAGCAGCGGCACCCUUCCAUCAAAGGCAAACGGAGUGGAGGGUACACCUGUGCUACACCCUUCACGAGUGAAGAGGCGGCACCUGCAGGUGUGCGAGUGGCCACGACGGCGAAGCAUAGGACGCAUUUGGUAGCCUGCAUUAGGCCUAGGCAGGCACGCGCAUGAUAAAAAUGGGCUGUUUGGAUGCUUGUGUUUACUGUUUGGCCCGCAUAGCACGAACCUCAAAGCACCCCUCAGCCUGGCCCGCUAGGAACGGCCGAAUCGACCAUUUCUAGCGAGCCAGGCUCGAGCGAUGCAGGGGAGGGGAAGGCCGUACUGUGCCGCGCAGCGUAGGGGAGGGAGAUGGCGGGAGCGAUGGCGCAUCUUCAAAAAAGCGGCGGAACGAAUUCGAGUCAACGCCCGUGGAUUCGGUCGCCCGUGAAUUCGAGCAAUCAUAGAAGACUAUAUGAUGGUUGAGUAUGUGGAGCUCUUACUUAGACUCUAUUGAAUAAGUUGAAUUGCAAUUGUUUGGUGACUAAGAAUAUAGGUUGUUGAGUUUCAAGAGAAUUUAUUGUUUGAACCUUAACAUGUGAAUCGGUUGCUACUUUGUGAUGAUGAGUUUUAUGAGAAAGAAUUGCUAUUAUGAUGCUAGGAAAAGUGAUUGAAAUUAUCAUUGAUCAAACUUAUGCACUUUGCUAGCAUUCACACUUCAUAAAUUAUUUCUUUUAUCAUUUACCUACUCGAGGACGAGUAGGAAUUAAGCUUAGGGAUACUGAUACGUCUCCAACCUAUCUAUAAUUUAUGAAGUAUUCAUGCUGUUAUAUUAUCAUUCUUGGAUGGUUUACGAAUAUUUUAUAGCAACUUUAUAUCAUUUUUUGGGACUAAACUAUUGGCCCAGCGCCCAGUGCCAGUUGUUGUUUUUUCUUGUUUUUUACAUCGUAGGAAAUCAAUAUCAAACGGAGUCCAAAUGCAGUAAAACUUUUUGGAGAUUUUUUUGGACCAGAAGACAUCCAGUGGGCCAGAGAAGCACCUGGGGGGCGAGGGGGCACAACCCACCAGGGCGCGCCUGGGGGCCCAGGCGCGCCUAGGUGGGUUGUGCCCACCUCGGUGGCCUCCCGCACCCCCUGUUCGACCUAUAAAUUGUCAAAUAUUCCAAAAACCCUCGGGGUUAACCUGGAUCGGAAGUUCCUCCACCACAAGCCUCUGUAUCCACGAAAACCAAUCUAGACCCUGUUCUGGCACCCUACCGGAGGGGGAGAUCAUCUCCGGUGGCCAUAUUCAACAUCCCGACGGCCACCAUGAUGAGGAGCGAGUAGUCCACCCUUGGGGCUGAGGGUUUGUACCAGUAGCUAUGUGUUUAAUCUCUCUCUCUCUCUCUCUCUCUCUCUCUCUCUCUCUCUCGUGUUCUUGAGAUGUCACGAUCUUGAUGUAUCGCGGGCUUUGUUAAUAUAGUUGGAUCAUAUGGUGUUUUCCCCUCUUUAUCUUGUUGUGAUGAAUUGAGUUUUCCCUUUGAGAUUUUGUUUUAUCAGAUUGAAUACUUUUAUGGAUUUGAGAACACUUGAUAUAUGUUUUGCAUAUGAAUACUCGUGGUGACAAUGGGGUAUCAUAUUGAUCUACUUGAUAUAUGUUUUGGCACUCAACUCGUGGAUUCCCGAGGUGACAUUGGGGUAAUCUAUUGUAGGAUCGAAAGUAUGUCUAGAGGGGGGUGAUUAGACUACUUGACCAAGUAAAAAUCUAGCCUUUUCCCAAUUUUAAGUCUUGGCAGAUUUUAGCAACUUAGCACAAGUCAAGCAAUCAACCUACACAUGCAAGUCUAAGAGUAUAGCAGUGGAAUGUAAAAACAUUGCACAUGAAGGUAAAGGGGGGAGUUUAAGGGAGCAAACGCAAUGUAGACACGGAGAUUUUUGGUGUGGUUCCGAUAGGUGGUGCUAUCGUACAUCCACGUUGAUGGAGAAUUCAGCCACGAAGGGUAACAGCUGCGAGAGUCCACGGAGGGCUCCACCCACGAAGGGUCCAUGAAGAAGCAACCUUGUCUAUCCCACCAUGGCCAUCGCCCAUGAAGGACUUGCCUCGCUAGGGUAGAUCUUCACGAAGUAGGCGACCUCCUUGCCCGUACAAACUCCUUGGUUCAACUCCACAAUCUUGUCGGAGGCUCCCAAGUGACACUUAACCAAUCUAGGAGACACCACUCUCCAAAUGGUAAUAGAUGGUGUGUUGAUGAUGAACUCAUUGCUCUUGUGCUUCAAAUGAUAGUCUCACCAACACUCAACUCUCUCUCACGGAUUUGGAUUUGCUGGAAAGAUGAUUUGAGUGGAAAUCAACUUGGGGAAGGCUAGAGAUCAAGAUUCUUGUAGUUGGAUUGUAAUAUCUUGGUCUCAACACAUGAGUAGGUGAUUCUCUCAGAAAAUGUAUGAUGGAAGUGUAGGCAUGUUCUGAUAGCUCUCUCCACGAAUGAAGAGUGGGUGGAGGGGUAUAUAUAGCCUCCACAGAAAAUCUAACAGUUACACAUAGUUUACCAAACUCGGUGGGACCGAAUCAUGAAACUCGGUCGGACCGAUUUAGUUCAAAAUGUGAACGUUAGGAUUUUCGGUGGGACCGACAUGUCAACUCGGUGGGAACGAUUUCAUUAAGGUUAGGGCAUAACGUAAUCUCGGUUAGACCGAUCACAUAAACUCGGUGGGACAGAUUUCUGUAAUAGGAAAACACAGAGUUGGUCAGGAAAACUCGGUGGGACCGAUUCGCUCAUUUCGGUGAGACCGAAACGUUAAGAAAAGGAAAGAGAGAGUUUGCAUUGCAAACUCGGUGUACGUGGGACCGAUCGCUCGUCUCGGUUGGACCGAAACGUUACGAAGGGAAACAGAGAGUUUGCAAUCCCAUCUCGGUGAGACCGAGAUCCCUAUCGGUGAGACCGAAUUGACUAGGGUUUCUGGCAGUGGCUAUGUCAAGUGAACUCGAUGGCGCCAGAUAGAUCAAAUCGGUUGGGCCGAGUUUGACUUUUGGUUUGGGACAUAAGUGGAUAUGAGAAAGUUGUUGAGGGCUUUUGGAGCAUAUCACUAAGCAUUUUGAGCAAGCAAGCUAUUAAGCAACACCUCAUCCCCUUUUAAUAGUAUUGGCUUUUCCAAUGGACUCAAUGUGAUCUUGGAUCACUAAAAUGAAAAUGUAGAGUCUUGAGCUUGAGACAAUAUGUGUCCUUAGCAUUUUGAGGGGUCCACAUUCCUUGUCCAUGCCAUGUCAAUCAUUGAACUUUCUGAAAUGAUCAUCUUGAAAGAGCAUUAGUUCAAUGAGCUAUAUGUUGUUAGGAAUUACCAAAACCACCCAGGAAUAAUUGCACUUUCAAUCUCCCCCUGUUUGGUAACUGAUGACAACAUAUAUAUCAAAGAUUUGUUAAAUGAUAAUAAGAAUGUAAUACAUCGUCGCUUUGAGAAGUAUGUGAUAUGCAAGAGCUCCCCCUAAAUUUGUGCAUUAUUGAAAAUUUGCUUUUGAAUGCAAAUGCACAAUCAAUUAGGAUCAUGGUUACUCUUCCAUGUCACAUACAUCUUGGUGGAGCGCUCAAAAUGAUAGAGUAAAAAUAUGCACUCAUCACCAAGGCAAAGUGAAUGAUCAUACAUGAGAGAUAAAAGAUAACAUCAUUCAAGCAAGCAUUAAGGUAUGAUAUGACCAAACACCUGAUCAUACAAGUAUCUCACACACAUAGACAUAGAGAAUUAAGCAAGUACACAAAAGUAUCAACCAAAUAGCAAAAGAGACAAAAGAGGCAAAACACUCUCUCUCGAAGCCUAUGAUCUAUACAUUUCUCCCCCUUUGGCAACACGUUACCAAUUUUUUUGGAAAUGCAUAGUGCUAUGCGUCUCUCUAGGCUUGAUCUUUGGGAGGUGGUGUUGAGAUGACUCCAAGGACGAAUGCAUCUGUUGAAGUUGAUGGAGUUGGUGGAGUUGCAACUGGAGGUGGCACUGAUUCUGUGGCUCCAGGUGCUGAUGAAGUUGCUUUAGUGUCAGCCAUGGGCGCUGCAGCAGAUCUCUGACCUCUUGGCACUCUUUGAAAGGCAUCUGUGGUAGCCUGCCCUUUCCUCUCCUCAGCUUCUUCUUGGAGCUGCUCCACUACUGUCGGCGUCCUGGAUAUGGGGGUAUCCAACCCUGCCUGCCUGCGGCCCACCACGUGGCUCCAUCGACGACCUGGUACGGCCCAGCUUCAGCAUCAACAGCACAAGACCCUCGCGAGGGGCCAAGCCGUGCGAGGCGGACGACGCCAAGAUCCCCGAGGGGAUCGGCCUCCUCAGGCUGGCUCCAGAGGAGCGGAGAGUUCUAUGCAAGGUUUACCUCACGAGGCUCAGCUGAUGUAAGCCAUGACAACCAAGGCCAGGCGGGCGCAGAGCGCGGGUUUCCUCUUCGGUGUAAAGGAGGUAAGCCACAGGCGUGGAGUCCCAAGGAAUCAGCCAAAGGUUUCCAUUCUGGUGCAAUGAGACCAAGACCGCCAGGACGACAGGACAGAGGUCAUCGAUGAGCCCAGCACCGCGUCACAACCAGAGGCUUUUCGCAGGCGAAGACUACUUUUUUCAGGAUAAACUGUACUACUUGUCCCCUUUCAAAUCCGGCCAUUGUGGGAUCCCUUCCCGCCAACAUUUGAGAAGAGGACCACGACCACUAUAAAUAGUACUAGCCACCACCGUAGAGGCAAGACAAGCCGAACUAGCUCACACCACACCAGCUCCCGCGAGCUCAAGAACACCUCACCUCUUGAGGCCAGUUCAUCCAUUGUACUAGUUCAUCCUCAGCCCUCUGAGGCAAUCCACCAAAACACUGGAGUAGGAUAUUACACCACAAGGUGUCCCGAACCAGGAUAAGCUGUUGUGUCCCUUUGUCCCUUUGAGCUCGACGCGCUAGACUUAGGAGAAUCGCGAGUAGGCAGGCUGGGUUGGUUGAGAUAUCCACACGCACCCCAGAGUUCGAACCUCUCAAGGGUUUGCGUAUCCCUUAAUCCGACAUUUGGCACACCAGGUAGGGGUGCGUCGGAUCUUCUCUUCCGUCGAUCGAUCCACGGCCACUCCGACACCUCCAUGGCUGACGCACGCCGAGCUCGCAUCGAGCAUCGGGCCGCAGUCGCCGCCCGCGUCGCUCAGACAACUCCGGCGGGCGAUGGUUGUGCCCGUCACGCUCCAUCUCUGGUGGCCAAUGCCGCCAUGGGCCCUGCCGGCCACGAGCAGCAAGCUUCAUCACUGCACCCGUCGGUGUGCCGUGACGGGUGCACCGCCACUCCAACACUCACCCAGCAGCUUCAUCCUCCCACGCGUGUCGUGGCUAGGCGGACGCGCAGGCCGCUCUGCUCAUGGCGCGAGAGCUCCUUCGCUACAGCCCGGUCAGUGACCUCUACGAGGAGUGGCUCGAGCGGAUCGCUGAGCUCGUCAGCGUCGCGCACGGGGCUCCUCCACCACCUCCGCCCCAGGGCGCCAUCAUCGAGCCAAGGCGUGUGGCGCCAUGGCGCGACCCAUCGCGCCCUGCGCCAGCUCAGGAGGACGUGAGCUGCCAGGUGGUGCAGCGACCACAAGGAGAACCGCGAGUGCUUCCAGCACCCCAGCACUAGGCCCGCGUACCGCCGUAGGAGGUGGCGGUGCGCGUGCACCAGGACCAGUUUCCACCCCCUCAACAACCUCCAGUGGCCACGACAGGAUGUCGCGCAUUCACCCCGGAGCUCUGCAACGUCAUCUGGCCGAGCAAGUUCAAGCCUGACCUGCCUCCACGCUACGACGACCCUGCCGAGUUCCUGCAGCUCUACGAGCUGAGCAUUGAGGCGGCCAGCGGCGACGAGAAGAUCAUGGCAAACUGGUUCCCGAUGGCCCUCAAGGAUGGCGCGCGUUCUUGGCUCCUGAACCUACCCGAGGGGUCGGUUUCUUCCUGGGAGGAGAUGCGCGACCGCUUCAUCGCCAACUUCCAGGGCACUCAUGAUUGUCCGCCGGCCGUGGGUGACCCGCGUCGCAUCAAGCAGCAACCUGGGGAGACCCUGCAGAACUAUAUCCAACACUUCAACAACGUUCGCCUCAAGAUCACCAAGGUGUCGGACGAGGCCAUCAUUUUGGCGUUCACUGACAGCAUCCACGAUGUCAAGAUGAAGGAGGAGCUCUCCGUCCAUGAGGAUCUUUGCACAGCCCUAGAGAUGUUCAACAUGCGAACAAGUGCACGAGGGCUGAGGAGGGGCGCCUCUCCCUCCUCGAGCUCCCCGAUGCUGAUCCAGAAGACAAGAAGGCCAAGACCAAAGACAUGAAGCGCAAGGGGCCGGCCGUGUUUGCGGCUGAACCAGAGAUGAAGCGCGGUUGCGACCACCUCGAGUCAUCCAAGAGCAAUCGGCCAUUCUGCGUCUUCCACAACGUUCACAGCCACAACACCAACGACUGCCAGGAGCUCAGAGCCCUCCACGACGGACGCCUCGGUCGACGCCCCAAGCGCAACGAUCGAGGCUACGGUCAUGAAGGUGGCCGAGGAGGAGGACGCUGGGACGGACACGGCCAUCGUUAGGACUGGUGCGACCAGCCUCGUGAGGACCGCUGGCAGGGCCAGCCUCGCGAGGGCGCCUGGAGGGAGCAGCCUCAUGAGGAAUGCCCUCAGGGCAACAUAGCUCUGCCUCCUCUGCCUCCACCGCCAAGAAGGAACGAGGAUCACCACCAGGACGAGGGGGCUAGGGGCUUCCAGGAGCCUCGAGCCAUUGCCUGCAUCUUGGGAGGCUCACAAGCCCUGGCUUCCCACCGCAUCUUCAAGCAGUUCAGGCGCGAGGUGAACGCGGCGUUCCCCAAGCCCGAGGCAACUCGCCCUCUUAGGUGGUCCAAGUGCGCCAUCACCUUCAACUCCUCAGACCAGCUCAAGUACGCGGCCACUGCUGGCACGCUCCCUAUGCUCUGCUCCCCGUCAUCAGUAACGUGGUCGUUACAAAGACUCUCAUUCAUGGCGGAGCAGGUCUCAAUGUUCUGUCUGUUCAGACGUUCGUCAGGCUCCAAGUGCCAUACUACUAGCUUCACCCAACCAAGCCAUUUUCAGGAGUGACCGACGGUUCUACACACUCGAUAGGGCAGGUUCACCUCCCUGUCACCUUCGGCGAGUGCAACAACUACCACACCGAUCUCAUCGACUUCGACGUCGCCGACAUCCGCCUGCCCUACAACGCCAUCCUAGGGUACUCAGCACUGGCCAAGUUCAUGGCAGCUACGCACCACAGCUACAACGUUCUCAAGAUGCCAGGAAGCGGCGGUGUCAUCACGGCCGCAUGCCAAGAGAAGGAUGCUGUGUGCUCCCUCGAGCACGCCUUCCAGGCUGCAGCACUCGAGAACCCUGAAGACGAGGGCGGCGCCCUCCCUCCCGAGGUCGCCCCCAAGACAAAGAAGCUACAGCUGGGACAAGGAUCUCAUGAGAGAGCAUCACUCGAGGGCACCACGCUGAGCCUCGCGUGUCCGGACGUGGCACCUUCUCCCAUUGCAUAGGAAGGCAUGCCCGACGCCCCUCUCAGGCUAGGCUUGGGGGCUCUCCUCGGGAGGGCCUCAGACCUAGCCAGAGUCACGAGGGAGGCGCUCGUGCACCAUGUGGAGGCGCUUUUUAGAGCACGCUUCCCAGGAGAAGGCAUCAGGCGUGAAGCACCAGACAUUCAGGAGUUAAUCGGCAAGGCAAUCGAGGAGAUUCAUGAGGCAAGGGUUCUGCAAGGCGAUCAUCGCCUGCCGCGAGGCGCAGCUCACUGCCCUAGCGAGGGUAAGGAGUACCACGUCUGCAUCGACAUCCCCAGGCUCAACAGGGAUGCGUCUCGGCAGCUCAUGUCGUCGUCUCGUGUCGGCCGAUGCGAGGGUCCACCUUACAGCUAUGUUCGCAUGCCUUUCAGCCUGCCGAGCACGGCUGUGGUGUUCCAGCACCGCAUGAGGGACGCCCUAGCGGCUCGCGAGGCCAGGCAUCGGGCGAUCCUGGUGGAGAUGGAGGAGCACCUUCAGGAGCCUCCCGGGCCCUCUGAGCCUCCCGAGGCUCGGCACCAGAGCGGCUCGUGAGGAACGACUCCGGCGGCGCAUGUUUUUUGGCUACUUCAACACCUCUUCAGCGAUGGUACCAGGUGACAUCUCUCUAGUUCGUUCAGUCUGGGGGCGCCCCUCGGGCUGCAUCAUCCCCAGGCCAUGUGGGUCCGUCCCUACGGCAUGUAUCCCUUCCGCAUCUAUCAGAGCUAGUUCAAUCUUUUGCAAGUUACCUUUAAAUUAUUAACUGCCUGACCGGUGCUUCGUCGCUAAGAACAUCUCGCGCCCUUGCAAGCCCUCCCGCGACCGCCUCAUGAUUAAGGAUUGGCACGACGUUUGUGCUCGGGUCCGUCCUUGCAGCGUCGCUAAAUCUAAGAGGCUGAGCUCUGGCUCAUGGGCCAGUCCCUGUGUACGUCACCUCCCAUGGCCCUUGGUGCCUUGUUCUCGCAUGAGCUAAUCACGGGUGGAUGAGUAAGGGCGCGCGACCUGGUGCCCCCGUGGCCACAGGAACCGCGUGCCGGUUGUUUUUCUUCAGGAUCUUUGCAUGAGAAGACUGGGAUGGCGUCUGUGCUCGGGUCCGUCCCUGCAGCGUCGAUAAACCCAACGGUUGACCUCUGUCUGGCGGGCCGGUCCCAUUCACGUCACCUCUUGAGAUCGUUGGUGUCUGGCCUUCUCAUGCAAUAACCUCAGGAGACUCAUUCGGCACAGGCUACCUAACCAUCUCGCAGGACUAAUACAAGCACCCUCAAUCAAGACCAGGCGCAACCCGCCUUGAGGUAGGGCCUCGUGAGUCCCGCGCUAGCUCACGAGUGCCCAUACACACCUCCUCCACCCCCGUCGUGCAAGCCACGUGUCAGGGCGCAGCUGUACACGCCCCGGGGGCUCUCCUUAGAGGGAGCCCCCCCUCACGCACUAGUGGAAGCACCAUGCUCCGCGCUGGCCAUCAACACUGCUGAGGAGCAGCUAUGCCCGUGCAAGAGCGGAAGCUCUAUGCUCUGCGCUGGUGAUAAACAACUGGGGGUGGCCUUGCGGCCGCAUCAACCUCAGGGAGCCUCCGGGCUCAGUGACCAGCCUCACCGUGCUGCUCUCCCUCAGGAGGAUAGCAUGAGGGGGCUGGGCACAGGGGCUACGCUCAUGUCACGCCUGGCGUACGCCACCUCGCCAUGCCUCACGGGCCUGGUCUUCGUGCACCCCUCCGAAGCGAGAGCUCGGCGAGGAGAAGGUAUGAUGGUCAAUUCGUACGUCAAGGGGGACUCCUGAGCAUCGUGUCUCAGGAGCCUAACUAGUCACAUAGCCCCUCACCCCUUGGGCUCGUCUUGGCAAUCCGGACGACCCAACGACGGCUGAGGCAUGCGCGGGGCCGGGCCCUGCCGACGCAGAAUGCCAAGGCCUGACUCUCACCCUUCCUUUUCAAGUCGUUCGAAUGUCAAGGGGGACUCCUGGGCAUCGCGUCUCAGGAGCCUAACUGGUCACGUAUCCCCUCAGCCCUUGGGCUCGUCCUGGCGAUCCGGAUGACCCAACGACGGCAGAGGUAUGCGCGGGGCCGGGCCCUGCCAAUGCAGAACAUCAAGGCUUACCUCCGCACCUUUUCCUAAGCUGUUCGCACGUCAAGGAGGACUCUUGAGCAUCGUGUCUCAGGAGCCUAACUGGUCACAUAGCCCCUCACCCCUUGGGCUCGUCCUGGCGAUCCGGACGACCCAACGGUGGCUGAGGUAUGCGCAGGGCCGGGCUCUGCCAAUGCAGAACAACAAAGCAAACGGAAAAGUCAAGGGACCAUAAUCUAAUUAUUACAUAUUGUUCCGAGCAAACAGUUUUAAAUGCCUCCCCGAGGCAUGCUACAUGAUACAGGACAAACAAGGAAAAGCAGAGUCACCAAGCCACCUCUUCAAACCUGGGUGCCACCGUUGCCCGCCAGCGGAGCCUCGUCACCAGGCGCGUCGCCCAUUCCAUCGACCUUGUUUGGAGGACCGAUGACCAGGAACUUACUCAACAUGGCAUGCACAAAGCUCUUCACGGCGGCAGCAGCAGCGUCCUGGGAGUCGGAGUCCACCGGAGUGAGGAAAGAGGUGAGGUCGAAGCCAGCGUCCUGGAGAUAGAGAUGGCUGAAGACGCACGUAAGGGCCGAGGAAGAAAGCGAGCGCGCCUCGCUUUCCACCAAAGAGGCAAACCCGUCGACAACAUCUUCCAGCACCGCCAAGACUUCAGGGAGCAAGGCAGCAGGGCUCUCCCUUGGGGUCAUCGCCGUCACCUUCUUCAAAGGAUCGUCCCCAAAGAGCAACCGCUGAGCCUUGUGGAACCUCGCCUCGAGAGAGGUGAGGGUGCUGCGCUUCAUGGCGGCGGCCUCCUUGGCCCCGGCGAGGGCCGUCUGGGCCGUCUCCACCUCCUCCUUCAGCUCGUCAGGCGGUCGCGCUCCGCAGCCUGCUCCAAGGCCACCUUCUUCACCUCGGCAUCUCGAUCAGCGAUGGCAGCCUCCUAGGCCUUCAGCUUCUCCUCACGCUCCUGGAGCUAGCUGGCCUGGGCGGCCUGCUGAUCCUGAAGAGCCUUCAGUUCAGCCUCCACCAUGCAGCGCCGAUCCUCAGCUUCUGUGGCCUCCUUCCGUGCCAGGUCGUGCUUGGUGGCGACCACCCCGAGCACCUUCUAGGCUUCCUUUGCAGAGCCCCAGGCCGCAGGGACAGACGCGUUGUCCUAGAGCCAACCAGAAAUCAGCCCCAGGCGUCCCUGCGCCGAGCGGCGCCGGGCCCCGAAGUUCACCCUGGAGGAGGUCCAGCACCGCCCUUGCCUCCUCUAGGGCCCCGGAGGUGGCAAGAGUGUCGCGGCUCGGCUGCAUGCUGGGCAAGGGAGAAGACACCCUCAACACCAAGACAGAAGAAACCUCAGCCUCAGGACGGACCGGGGGCUCCGGAGGCUGGUCGACCUUAGUAGCCGCAGCAAGGAUGGGCGCCGGUGGGGUCAGCCUCGCCAAGGACGCCGACACCUCCUGAGGGCGGGCUUCCGCGCCCUGGGAAGACGACACCACCUCCAGAGCUGCAGGGGCCGCGACAUUCUCCUUCACGUGGGCCGUAGCAGCCACCCCGGCGCCUUCAACCACGACAACCUUCGUGCCCUCCUUCUGCUUCUUUGACGAAUGCUGCCUAAUGACGGACGAAGAUGCUAAGCAUCGCUUCAGGAAUCAACAAGUAAGGCUAAGGAAAAGACUUACUGGCCGACGAAGACAUAGCUCCUCUUCAGGCUGAGCAGUGGGUGCUGAGGCAGGGCAGCUGGUGGUGAGCCCUUGGGAGCAGGAGAACUCGCGGUUGGCGCCACUCGGGACGCCGCCGGCGAAGGCGGAACGCUGCCCGGAGGAAUCAGCACGGUCCUGCCCUUCUUCGAGGCCGUCCGCUUGGGCUGCUUCAAAGAGGACACCCCGGAUCUCGUGGUGACUCCAGAAGGGCGAGGCACCUCUACCACCGGAAGCUCAUCAUCACCGUCAGGGAAGUCGUGGAGGAGGUCCCUCUGCCGCGGGGUAGAAGAUUCCUCUACAACCUCGUCCUCGGUGGCCUCGGAGGAGUGGUCGCUGGAGGACAGGUGCACCAAGGCGGUAGGCGGCGGGGGAGGCCCCGCACGCACGAUGCCAAACUCGUCAAAGACCGGCAUGGCAACGGCGACCUCCUCCCCGUCGACCCAACAGUACAACUGGAGCCAAUCCUUUGGAGGUUUGGUCGGAUCCUUCCCCGUCAAGUAAAGCAACACCUUGCCCAGCUCCUCCUCGGGAAGGGCGUCCUGGCACAGGCGGAUCUUGUCGUCGACGCACCCAAGCUUCCACAAGGGGCAGGAGCGAUCUUGGAGCGACGCUAUGCGCUGCGUCAAGAACUCCAUGAUGAACAUGGCCCCCGUCAGCUUCUCGCUCCUCAGGUCCUCCUCCAUCUUCUUCACCAACGGCUUCAAAGAAGGGUCAGUGAUCUUCUCAGAGUACCACCCCUUCCCGGAGGCGGGGAGCUCGGUCGACAGCUCCAACAAGGCAUGGGAGCACUUGGCAUCCAUCAGAACCCACCUCUUCAUGGCAUCCUCCACCUUCUUCCCGGCGCGGGAGAUCGCGUUACCGCCCCAUGCUGCAAUGAAGCCGUUGCACCCAACCGGAUGGUCGCCAGUUGCUACCACUUGAGCACUGCAUUGGUUUUCCCUUGAAGAGGAAAGGGUGAUGCAGCAAAGUAGCGUAAGUAUUUCCCUCAGUUUUUUAGAACCAAGGUAUCAAUCCAGUAGGAGGCUCCAUAGAAGACCCUCGUACCUACACAAACAAACAAGAACCUCGCAACCAACGCGAUAAAGGGGUUGUCAAUCCCUUCAUGGUAACUUCUGAAAGUGAGAUCUGAUAGAGAUAAUAAGAUAAGAUAAAUAUUUUUGGUAUUUUUAUGAUAUAGAUUGAAAAGUAAAGAUGCAAAUAAAAGUAGAUUAGAAACUUAUAUGAUAAAAGAUAGACCCGGGGGCCAUAGGUUUCACUAGUGGCUUCUCUCAAGAUAGCAUAAGUAUUACAGUGGGUGAACAAAUUACUAUCGAGGAAUUGAUAGAAAAGUGCAUAGUUAUGAGAAUAUCUAGGCAUGAUCAUGUAUAUAGGCAUCACGUCUGUGACAAGUAGAUCAAAACAAUUCUGCAUCUACUACUAUUACUUCACACAUCGACCGACUCCAGCCUACAUCUAGAGUAUUAAGUUCAUAAGAACAGAGUAACGCAUUAAGAAAGAUGACAUGAUGUAGAGGGAUAAACUCAAGCAAGAUGAUAUAAACCCCAUCUUUUUAUCCUCGAUGGCAACAAUACAAUAUGUGCCUUGCUGCCCCUGCUGUCACUGGGAAAGGACACCGCAAGAUUGAACCCAAAGCUAAGCACUUCUCCCAUUGCAAGAAAGAUCAAUCUAGUAGGCCAAACCAAACUGAUAAUUUGAAGAGACUUGCAAAGAUAACCAAUCAUACAUAAAAGAAUUCAGAGGAGAUUCAAAUAUUUCUCAUAGAUAAACUUGAUCAUAAACCCACAAUUCAUCGGAUCUCCGCAAACACACUGCAAAAAGAGUUACAUAAAAUAGAUCUCCAAGAAGAUCAAGGAGAACUUUGUAUUGAGAUUCAAAGAGAGAGAAGAAGCCAUCUAGCUAAUAACUAUGGACCCAAAGGUCUGUGGUAAACUACUCACAACUCAUCGGAGAGGCUAUGGUGUUCAUGUAGAAGCCCUCCGUGGUUGAUUCCCCCUCCAGCGGAGCACCGUCGAAGGCUCCAAGAUGGGAUCUCGUGGAUAAAGAAGGUUGCGGCGGUGGAAAUAGUUUUUCAUGGUGCUCCUGGAUGUUUUCAGGGUAUGGAGGUAUAUAUAGGCGAAGGAGGUAGGUGAGAGGAGCCACGAGGGCCCCACGAGGGUGGGGGGUGGGGCGCGCCCUCCUGCCUUGUGGCCACCUUGGCUGCUUCUUGAAGUCCACUCCAAGUCUCCUGGAUUGCGUUUGUUCCAAAAAUAUGGCUCCCGAAGGUUUCAUUCCGUUUGGAAUCCGUUUGAUAUUCCUUUUCUUCGGAACACUGAAAUAGGCAAAAAAACAGCAAUUCGGGUUGGGCCUCCGGUUAGUAGGUUAGUCCCAAAAAUGAUAUAAAAGUGUAAAGUAAAGCCCAUAAACAUCCAAAACGGGUAAUAUAAUAGCAAGGAACAAUAAAAAUUAUAGAUAUGUUGGAGACGUAUCAAGCAUCCCCAAGAUUAAUUCAUGCUCGUCCUCGAGUAGGUAAAUGAUAAAAACAGAAUUUUUGAUGUGGAAUGCUACCUAGCAUAUUUCUCAAUGCAAUUUUCUUUAUUGUGGCAUGAAUGUUCAGAUCCAAAUGAUUCAAAAUAAAAGUUCAUAUUGACAUAAGAAUAGUAAUACUUCAAGCAUACUAACAAAGCAAUCAUGUCUUCUCAAAAUAACAUGGCUAAAGAAAGUUCAUCCCUACAAAAUCAUGUAGUUAGGCCAUGUUUCAUUUUCAUCACACAAAAUACUCCCAUCAUGCACAACCCCGGUUUCAGCCAGGCAAUU